UACGUAGGGGGCAAGCGUUGUCCGGAUUCAUUGGGCGUAAAGGGUGCGUAGGCGGGUCUUUAAGUCAGAGGGGAAAUCCUGGAGCUCAACUCCAGAACUGCCUUUGAUACUGAAGAUCUUGAGUUCGGGAGAGGUGAGUGGAACUGCGAGUGUAGAGGUGAAAUUCGUAGAUAUUCGCAAGAACACCAGUGGCGAAGGCGGCUCACUGGCCCGAUACUGACGCUGAGGCACGAAAGCGUGGGGAGCAAACAGG
RNAcentral lists this ribosomal RNA (253 nucleotides) under uncultured bacterium. RNAcentral describes it as "partial 16S ribosomal RNA". It matches the Rfam family "Bacterial small subunit ribosomal RNA", at positions 524 to 776 of the family's 1533-position model. The record is from RNAcentral.